RNAcentral lists this long non-coding RNA (1671 nucleotides) under Pelobates cultripes (western spadefoot toad). The record is from RNAcentral. Lineage: Eukaryota; Metazoa; Chordata; Amphibia; Anura; Pelobatidae.
UUUUAUUUCACAUUUAAACAAAAUCUACUUUGCAAAUGUAUUAAAUGUUCUAACAGCCCAGAUAGGGACACUUGUCAUUGCAACAUGUUAAAUUAAGUUCUUGCUUUUAGGUUUUAAAGGGAUACUCCGGUAACCAUAACUAUUUCAACUCAAUGAAGUGUUAUGGUAUGAAUCAGUCCUAGAUGCCAUAUUCUGGCAAUAACAAUUUUUCAUAUGUUUUAAACCCAUAGUGCUGUUCACAAUCCCUGGCCUCUCUGCCAUCUCCUUGGACCCAGAUUCAAAGCAGAAGUUUUCCCUUUCAGCUAAUGCUCUCAGCCUACCACUGGGCUCCCAGUGAGAGAAAUUCUUUAGAAAGUACAUACAAUGAUGUAGGAGACAUUGUGGCAACAGAUUUAAAAAAAACAAAAAAAACUGCAUAACCAAAUACAAAAGAUUUGCAGUUCCCUGUUAGCUAGGUAAGGCAUAUCCUAAAAUUGUGGUUUGUCUUUUAUAUGUAUUUUUCUAUGGUUUCUAUAAGUAGGGGUUUAAACCCACAGGAACUAGAACACCUGAAUCGGGGAAGUAUGAGUGGUAGCAAGUUUAAAAAUGUUACUCCGUACAUUGUCUGCUGUAUAUAUGCAGGCCUGGAGAAGUAUAUACCUCUGUGGCAGAUUGGAACAAGUGGCUUCUCUGGAAGCUCAAAUUGGAGAUCAGGAAAAGCAAAUUGAAAUGCCUAGACUGUCUACCAUAUCUAUCUGUCAAGGUUGUCAGUCAAAGAGGAGGAAAGGUGUAGCGAGUCCUGACUUUGUAUACUCCAGCAGAUUUUCCCAUUAGAGCGAACAUUUUGGGAGUAUCUGCUCAGAAAGAACAGCUUCCUCGAGCUCAGUCAGUCCGAACAGCUGAGGGAACAGCUCCUCUUUUAUAGACUGGAUCCAGAAUGGAAGAAAGUCAAUGCAAGUUUUAGUAGUAAGCAAAUCUGUUAAGAGAGACAGGGUAAUCAUGUCAGCUAGAUAGUUUGCUGUCUCCCGAGUGCUUGUGUUCUUCAUGGUGCUGACAGAGUGAAUAGAUUAUUGGGAGGGGCUGGGGAUGGCCUGACUAUCAUAGUCCAUGUUUGCGCCAAUUACAAAGUUAUAGGAAGAUGGAGGGCCCUUAAGAAUGUUUCAUAUGAACUGAAGCAAUAACUAUGGCUGUAGAUUUGCAAAUACUUCUUACAAAAGCCUUGCAACAAACCGGUAAUUUGGUAAACACAGGUUAAAGUGCUACAGCAAUUAAAUAAACAAUGCUAACAAAGCCUGUGAGCCAGAUGAUAUUCACCUAUGAUUACUUAAGGAGCUAAAUGUAGAAAUAUCCAUACCAUUGUUAUUAAAUCUUUCAAGAUUCUUUUCAUACAUGAAUCAUAGCAGAGGAUUGGAUAAAGGGAAAUACAGUGCCUUUAUUUAAAGAGUUUGAAAGCUCAACCCUCAAACUACAGACAUGAGUUUAAAUACAAAUAAUUGAAAGUAGGAUAAGUGCAAAAAGGCAACUGUUUGUAGAAUUGUAAGCAGACUGCAAAUACUGGUAGUAAAGGAUACCCUUGUCCUGUUACUGAUUAAUUUAGAGCAAGAUAAUACAAAAUCUAUGUACAGGUUGUGCCAAAAUAAAAAGUCCAAUAGAAUAUCAGAUGCUUGGAGUAGGGAUCGACCGAUUAUGGGU